RNAcentral lists this ribosomal RNA (253 nucleotides) under uncultured bacterium. Its description in RNAcentral is "partial 16S ribosomal RNA". It matches the Rfam family "Bacterial small subunit ribosomal RNA", at positions 524 to 776 of the family's 1533-position model. The record is from RNAcentral.
UACGGAGGGUGCAAGCGUUAUCCGGAUUCACUGGGUUUAAAGGGUGCGUAGGCGGGUAAGUAAGUCCGUGGUGAAAUCUCUGAGCUUAACUCAGAAACUGCCGUGGAUACUAUUUGCCUUGAAUAUUGUGGAGGUGAGCGGAAUAUGUCAUGUAGCGGUGAAAUGCUUAGAUAUGACAUAGAACACCAAUUGCGAAGGCAGCUCACUACACAAUCAUUGACGCUGAGGCACGAAAGCGUGGGGAUCGAACAGG